Molecule: ribosomal RNA, 1765 nt
Filed under: Durio zibethinus
Lineage: Eukaryota; Viridiplantae; Streptophyta; Magnoliopsida; Malvales; Malvaceae
Description: SSU rRNA
Rfam family: Eukaryotic small subunit ribosomal RNA
Source: RNAcentral
CCUGGUUGAUCCUCCUAGUAGUCAUAUGCUUAUCUCAAAGAUUAAGCGAUGCAUGUGCAAAUAUGAAAUAAUUUAGACUAUGAAACUACGAACGACUCAUUAAAUCAGUUAUAGUUGUUUAAUGGUAUCUACCACUCAAAUAAUAGUAUUAUUCUAGAGCUAAUAUGUGCAACAAACCUUGACUUCUAGAAGGGAUUCAUUUAUUAGAUAAAAGGUUGAUGUGGGCUUUGCCUGGUGUUAUGAUGAUUCAUGGUAACUCGACGGAUCACACAACCAUUAUGUCAGUGAUGCAUCAUUGAAAUUUUUACCCUAUCAACUUUUAAUGGUAGGAUAAUGGCCUACUAUGGUGGUGACGGGUGGUAAAGCAUUAAGGUUUGAUUCCAAAGAUGGUGCCUAAGAAAUAGUUACCACAUCCAAGGAAGGCAACAAGUGUGUAAAUCACCCAAUCACAACAUAGGGAGGUAGUGACAAUAAAUAACAAUAUCGGGCUCUAUGAGCCUGGUAGUUGGAAUAAAUACAAUUUAAAUCCCUUAAAGAUGAUCCAUUGAAGGGCAAGUCUAGUGCCAGUAGCUGUGGUAAUUCCAGCUCUAGUAAUUUGUAUUUAAACUAUUUCAAUUAAAAAUCUCAUAGUUGGAACUAUGGUUGGGUCAUUCAAUUUGCCUUACAAUGAGCACUUAUCUACUCAUCCCUACUGCUAGUAAUGCACUCCUAGCUUUAAUUGGUUGGGUCAUUCCUCUGGUGCUAUUACAUUGAAGAAAUUAUAAUGCUCUAAGUAGGCUCAUGCUUGUAUACAUUAGCAUGGGAUGAUGUCAUAGGAUUUCUAUCCUAUUGUGUUGGCCUUUGAGAUCAAAGUAAUGAUUAACAAAGAUAGUCAGGGGCAUUCGUAUUUCAUAGUUAGAGGUGAAAUUCUUGGAUUUAUGAAAGAUGAACAAUUGCAAAAGCAUCUGCCAAAGAUGUUUUCAUUAAUCAAGAAUAAAAGUUGAAGCUCAAAGAUGAUCAGAUACCAUUCUUGUCUCAACCAUAAACAAUGCCAACCAGGAAUCAACAAAUAUUACUUUUAAGAGUCCAUCGAUAUAUUACGAGUAUGGUUGCAAGGUUGAAACUUAAAGGAAUUGAUGGAAGGGCACCACUAGGAGUGGAGCCUAUGGCUUAAUUUGACUCAAUACAGGGAAAUUUACCAAGUCUAGACAUUGUAAGGAUUGAUAGAUUGAAAGCUCUUUCUAGAUUCUAUAGGUGGUGGUGCAUGGCCAUUCUUAGUUAGUGGAGCGAUUUGUUUAGUUAAUUCCAUUAACGAAUGAGACCUUAGCUUUUAACUAGCUACAUGGAGGUGAUCCUUUGUGGUUAGCUUCUUAAAUGGACCAUGGCCACUUCAGCCAAGAAAGUUUGAAGCAAUAAUAGGUCUGUGAUGCCUUUAGGUGUUCUGGGCCACACGCGCACUACAUUGAUGUAUUCAACAAAUCUAUAGCCUUAGCCAAUAGGCUUGGGUAAUUUUUGAAAUUUCAUCAUGAUCGGGAUAGAUCAUUGUAAUUAUUGGUCUUCAAUAAGGAAUUCCUUGUAAGCGUGAGUCAUCAACUCGUAUUGACUAUGUCCCUAUCCUUUGUACACAUCGCUUGUUGCUCCUAUUGAUUGAAUGGUUUGGUAAAGUGUUAAGAUCUCAGCAACGUGGAUGGUUCACUGCCCACAAUGUCAUGGAAAGUCUGGUAAACCUUAUCAUUUAGAGAAAGGAGAAGUCAUAACAAGGUUUCUAUAGGUGAACCUAUAGAUG